Molecule: ribosomal RNA, 436 nt
Filed under: uncultured bacterium
Lineage: Bacteria
Description: bacterial SSU rRNA
Rfam family: Bacterial small subunit ribosomal RNA
Source: RNAcentral
UGAGGAAUAUUGGUCAAUGGCGUUAGCCUGAACCAGCCAAGUAGCGUGAAGGAUGAAGGCUCUAUGGGUCGUAAACUUCUUUUAUAUAAGAAUAAAGUGCAGUAUGUAUACUGUUUUGUAUGUAUUAUAUGAAUAAGGAUCGGCUAACUCCGUGCCAGCAGCCGCGGUAAUACGGAGGAUCCGAGCGUUAUCCGGAUUUAUUGGGUUUAAAGGGAGCGUAGGUGGACUGGUAAGUCAGUUGUGAAAGUUUGCGGCUCAACCGUAAAAUUGCAGUUGAUACUGUCAGUCUUGAGUACAGUAGAGGUGGGCGGAAUUCGUGGUGUAGCGGUGAAAUGCUUAGAUAUCACGCAGAACUCCGAUUGCGAAGGCAGCAUACCGGCGCUCAACUGACGCUGAGGCACGAAAGCGUGGGGGAGUCGAACAGGAUUUAGAUACC